UUUUUUAUGGUGUAUAGAGCACGUUGGCUUUUCGCGCCAGAAGAGGAAUGUUUUCCUGAU
This 60-nucleotide transfer RNA is filed under the name Kuphus polythalamius. RNAcentral describes it as "tRNA-Glu". The record is from RNAcentral. Lineage: Eukaryota; Metazoa; Mollusca; Bivalvia; Myida; Teredinidae.